This 253-nucleotide ribosomal RNA is filed under the name uncultured bacterium. RNAcentral's name for it is "partial 16S ribosomal RNA". It matches the Rfam family "Bacterial small subunit ribosomal RNA", at positions 524 to 776 of the family's 1533-position model. The record is from RNAcentral.
GACAGAGGGUGCAAACGUUGCUCGGAAUCACUGGGCGUAAAGGGCGUGUAGGCGGGAAGGCAAGUCAGAUGUGAAAUCCCUGGGCUCAACCCAGGAACUGCAUUUGAAACUCCCUUUCUUGAGUGUCGGAGAGGAAAGCGGAAUUCCUGGUGUAGAGGUGAAAUUCGUAGAUAUCAGGAGGAACACCGGUGGCGAAGGCGGGAUCCUGGGCCAGUACUGACGCUGAGGAGCGAAAGCGUGGGGAGCAAACAGG